Long non-coding RNA from Empidonax traillii (willow flycatcher), 2886 nucleotides. RefSeq lists it as uncharacterized. The record is from RefSeq and is a predicted model, not a curated record. NCBI's taxonomy places the organism in Eukaryota, Metazoa, Chordata, Aves, Passeriformes, Tyrannidae. The transcript is spliced from 2 exons.
CAAGCAUGUUAAAGCAGUUACUUUUUCCAAGUUACUCCUUUUCUCCCUCUUCAGGAAAUCAGAUCUACUUAUGAUCUGAAUUUGAAAGUCAGGAUAAUGGUACUCCCCGUUUGGUCUUCUAGGAUGUGAAGCCAGAAACAAUGCUUUCAUUUUUAUGUUUAUUCUCUUAUUUGUCAUGAUGUUUCUUGGUUUCUGAUACAAAUUAUUUACUAGUGAUUCUUGCUGUUGUCUAAGGAUCUCUAGUCCUUGCUGGUUUUUUUGUUGCAGCUGCCAAAUCCCUGUGAAGAAACCAAACUCUUAAGAUGGUUUACUGGGACAGUUUUUUCCAUACAAAUGAUUACUGUGGUUGUCAUUUGACUUUGACAAACAUAAAUGAAGCAAGGUGUUUUUUGUGAUCAGGGAAUAAGAAGGUAUAAUUCAAACUGAAUUGCAGUUUAGGCUUUAAAACAAAAAUUUACCAUACCUGUUGUACAGUGAAGGUCUAGUAGUUUUUUAGUGUUCCAUGUAAGAUACAAUAUAGGAAUGCACUACAUGAAGGCAUGCAGAAAAUAUGCAAUACAUCACUUCUCUGUGCAUCUUUUAUCAAGGGUUUAGGUUAAAAAAACCACCCCGAGUUUUUAUAAAAUGGAUAUGUACUUGGAUGCACUGCUGAUUGUUAAUUUUUACCCAGUUUGAUUAGUCAUGAUCUUUCAUGCUGAAGUUGCUGUCUAUUAAUGUUUUUUUCCUUUUAUCACGUUUCUUGCCCUUACCUGCCACUUUCAAAGUACUCCAAUGCUGGUAUAAGAAUCUAAUCACCACAGUAGAUUCAGAGUACAAUGCAUCAGUGAAAAUCAAAAAAAGCUGCUCUGUGAAGUAUAGCAUAUUCAAGAGAAUAAGGUACCAGAAUAAUUUUUUGUGCUUGUUUAACAAGAAGGCAAAUAGAUACCUGAUUUAACUAAUCUCUUUUUCCUGUUCACUCAGAUUCUCACAUCAGCUGUAACGUAGCAGGUAGCAGCAUGCUGUAUGUGAGGUCAUAGUCUUUUUUUAAUUGUAACCAUGAAAAUAGGGAUGCCAGGUAGGUUGUUGUGUCAGGAGGUUUUUUUGAUUUAAGUUUUAUUUUGUGGAAGUUCUCAGCACAGAUGCAACUGCUUCUCUUGGAAGGGCUGUUUCAGUAGCCUUUCGGAGAAACAAAGGAAAAAUUAAUCUCUAAAAUGAGAAAGUUGCUGUGUUCCUUGUGAUUAGGGCAGUCUUUUGCAGUGGAGUAGUAAACUUGGGAUACUCUAAUGUAUUUUUUAAUGGUGACAAGCAAAACCACACACAGCACACUUACAUAGCCCCCCAGCAGCCAGUCCCAAUUGUACUUUACAAUUUAACUGGUUAUAACAGAAUUUUGUGUAAUCUCUUAUUUUUAAAACUAACAACAAACGAACAAACUAAAAUCCACCUCCAAAAGCAAGGAGGAAUAGGUUUGCCUUUAGAUGCAAUGAAGUUUGUUGAAACUGAGGAUGCUGGUAUCUCCUUAGGGCCAGAACUUAGUGUUUCUAAACAUACUAGAAGGAAAGAAAAAUAUUAUUCUGUGCUCAAUUGUAAGAAAGACUUAUAAAAAAAGUAUAAAAAAUAAUGAUGUUUUAGAAUUAUAUUCUUAAAAGGCCUUACACUAAAGUGUUUGAGAUAGACUUGAUCUAAUGGGAGAUUGUAAAAACUCUAAUGAAAAUGAUCCAAGUCUCAGUUCUGUUGCAGAAUUGCACUGUGAUACUGUAUUUUAGUUGUUAUGUUUCUUUAAUAGCACAAGCUGGAAGUUUGUAAAUUGGAAUUCUGCACUAUCUUGGUAAGACAAAGUACUGAUGAAUACUUUCAGUCUCAAACUGUUGGUGCUUUGAAGACGGUACUGGUAGUAGUCAGAUGGCUGCAUUUCAACAGUGGUGGGAAACAUUCCUGUGUGUAAAUACUGUAAAGUGUUUUGGAGGGGGAAAUGGCGCUAUAUAAAUGUAAGACAUUAAGUGCCUCUGAAAUAAUAAACCUAAAGAUAAAAUAUAUCUAGGCUUUUUGUUUCUUAAUUAUGUGAGUAGGAAUUUUGUAAUAAUUCAGUGAAUGCAUAUUCAGUAAGUGUUGGGUUACUCAACAAGCCAGUUGACUUGUGUUCCACUUAUAAAACAUCUGCAGUACUGCCUGAAAUCUGACUUGGAAUCAGCCAGGUGAUGCCAUCCAGUUGUAGGCUUAACCAAGUACAUGAGCUCAGUACUUGAAGAUAUGUUCUUAGAGCAAGUGGAUUAUAGGUGCUUUUAUCUCUUUUAAACUUGCACUGAGAUUACCUCAGUUGGUUACAGCCUGGUGCUCAUAAUGCUGAGGUCAUGGAUUCAAUCCCUGUAUGGGCCAUUCAUUUAAGAGCUGGACUCGAAGAUCCCUGUUAGUCCCUUCCAGCUCAGAAUAUUCUGUGACUCUGACUUCUCUCUCCUUUGUCUGCUGACCACUUCUUUUCCCUUUAUUGAUUUUAGAAGAGUAUGGACUUGAACAAGAUUAAUUUAAUAGCAGUACAUACUGUGGUAAUUCUUUUGAGUGCUCCCUAAUCUUUGUACUUUGAAGAAAAUAAGAUAAUCACUUUCCACUUUUAUUGUAUUUUGUAUUUAUGUGGUGAAUUUUAAUCAUUUUCCUUUGUUGUGGUAAACAUACCAGCUAUCGGGGACUUGAAGCACAAUAGUGUAAAAGUGCAACCAAGAUAUGCUUGAAUUAACUGAUUCUAAAGUGAUCAUUGUUUUCUAAUACUAAUUAGUACUGAUUUUUCCAUUUCUUAACUGAGAUUAGUUCUGCAAGGUGAACAGAACAUCACAGUGCACCUUAUCUUCCAUGUCAAGUGCAAAGCAUGCUUUACUGCAUCAUGGAUUUAUUUUUCUUACAAAACCAAACCAA